GUCCACGCCCUAAACGAUGUCAACUAGUUGUUGGGGAUUCAUUUCUUCAGUAACGUAGCUAACGCGUGAAGUUGACCGCCUGGGGAGUACGGUCGCAAGAUUAAAACUCAAAAGGAAUUGACGGGGACCCGCACAAGCGGUGGAUGAUGUGGAUUAAUUCGAUGCAACGCGAAAACCUUACCUACCCUUGACAUGCCACUAACGAAGUAGAGAUACAUCAGGUGCCCGAAAGGGAAAGUGGACACAGGUGCUGCAUGGCUGUCGU
Molecule: ribosomal RNA, 265 nt
Filed under: uncultured bacterium
Lineage: Bacteria
Description: partial 16S ribosomal RNA
Rfam family: Bacterial small subunit ribosomal RNA
Source: RNAcentral